GGGGAAAGAGAAAUUGGGAGGAGGAGAAGGAAAUUGGAGCUGGAGGAGAGAUUGACAUUCAUCACAUACACACAAUGCACCCCUUGCACACAGAAAAACACACAAUGCAUUACUCACACAGACACACAUACACAAGCAAUGCAACCGUUACACACAAUGCAUCCCUUACACACACAGAAACACACAAUGCAUUCAUUACACACACUCAAUGCACCCCUUAAACACAUUCAAUGCAUCCCAUACAUACACAGAAACACACCUUGCAGCCCUUACACAUACAAACACAAUGCAUUCCUUACACACAUAUCAGGACAUCCCUUACACACUCCACCCCCUGUGAACAAACUCAUUGGUGGAACAUGAAGGUGGACCCUGGGACCCAGACCUUGAGCUGUGUAAAGGACCCCCAAAAAAUGGAGCUGCUUCCCGUUCUCCCAGAACAUUGAUUUUUGUGACCACACUUACAAACCGCCUCCAGAGAGCCUGUUCUGCACCAGACCAGUGGAGCCAGACUGCAGCUAGAGCCCAUCAUCCUCCUCAUCUGGUUGUAAGUAGGCAAUCUAGUAUAUUAUUCGUGGCACUAAGCUCUAAUUUACCUCAUAUUAAA
RNAcentral lists this long non-coding RNA (607 nucleotides) under Pelobates cultripes (western spadefoot toad). Lineage: Eukaryota; Metazoa; Chordata; Amphibia; Anura; Pelobatidae. The record is from RNAcentral.